CAUUGUCAGGGUUGAAGC
RNAcentral lists this small nuclear RNA (18 nucleotides) under Arabidopsis thaliana (thale cress). RNAcentral describes it as "snRNA_17522". The record is from RNAcentral. Lineage: Eukaryota; Viridiplantae; Streptophyta; Magnoliopsida; Brassicales; Brassicaceae.